Molecule: ribosomal RNA, 427 nt
Filed under: uncultured bacterium
Lineage: Bacteria
Description: partial 16S ribosomal RNA
Rfam family: Bacterial small subunit ribosomal RNA
Source: RNAcentral
UGGGGAAUAUUGGACAAUGGGCGAAAGCCUGAUCCAGCCAUGCCGCGUGUGUGAAGAAGGUCUUCGGAUUGUAAAGCACUUUAAGUUGGGAGGAAGGGCAUUAACCUAAUACGUUAGUGUUUUGACGUUACCGACAGAAUAAGCACCGGCGAACUCUGUGCCAGCAGCCGCGGUAAUACAGAGGGUGCAAGCGGUAAGCGGAAUUACUGGGCGUAAAGCGCGCGUAGGUGGUUUGUUAAGUUGGAUGUGAAAUCCCCGGGCUCAACCUGGGAACUGCAUUCAAAACUGACUGACUAGAGUAUGGUAGAGGGUGGUGGAAUUUCCUGUGUAGCGGUGAAAUGCGUAGAUAUAGGAAGGAACACCAGUGGCGAAGGCGACCACCUGGACUAAUACUGACACUGAGGUGCGAAAGCGUGGGGAGCAAACA